CCACAGAGUCUCGCUCUGUCUCCCGGACUGGAGUGCAGUGGUGCGAUCUCGGCUCACUGCAAGCUCUGCCUCCCUGGUUCACGCCAUUCUCCUGCCUCAGCCUCUCGAGUAGCUGGGACUACAGGGGCCAUCACACCCAGCUAAUUUUUUGUACUUUUAGUAGAGAUGGGGUUUCACCAUGUUAGCCAGGAUGGUCUUGUUCUCCUGACCUCGCGAUCUGCCCUCCUCGGCCUCCCAAAGUGCUGGGAUUACAGGCGUGAGCCACAGCGCCCGGCCAAAAUCUUAAACUAAAUUUUAGAACUCAACACACUCAUAAAUUUGGACAGUAUCUAAAUGUAAUAUGUUAAACUAUUACAUAUAAUAUAUCUUGGCCAUUUUCUUUCCUGAAUAGUUAUCAUAUAUGCUUUAUUAAUAUACCUAAGAUCGUUUUACUUUAUUUUUGUAAUCAAAUAGCCAGACUUAAAGGAGACUAAGAAAUUUUAAAAGUUAAAAAAUAUGAAUUAAGCAGGUAGAGCUAUCAUCAAGAUGUAAAAUUCAUUUUAAUAUAAUAGAAUUAUUUCAAUUUGUAUUCCACUUGCUAAUAAAUUUACAUUUGAUAAGUUAAAGAGUUAAUGAAACUCACUGGUAUUUAUUAUCUUUUUGAUAGCUCUAGGAUAAUAUGUUUUUAUUUGCACUCAGAAGCACAUCCUGCAUUCAUUUUUAUUAGUUUUAAUAUAUGGAUAGACUGCAGUAAAUAUUAUUACUAGAAAUCUGUGGCUUGCUUGCUUUCUCCAAAGGAUCUGGAAACUAAUAGAUUUCUCACAUGCAUUUAAAAGAUUGCUGAACAAGAAUUAACGUUAACUUUUGUGUCUGCUUGUGGGCUAAACAACAAUUAUUGCACAUUUUUAUUUCUGGAAUUCAUCAUUUCUCAUCUUUUAUUUGUUAUUAUGCUUAAAACCUGACCCCUGUUUUAGGACAGAAACUACCUCUUGGGCGUCAUCAGUGAUUUCAUAUAAUCUACCUUUACCCCAUGUUCAUGCUGUGGGAUCUUUCUACUUGGCCAGAAUUUCUAUUAGAAAUCUGAUAGUUAACAGGCAUUGGCAUUCUAAGGAAUAAAGAAAGAUGACUGUCCUUCUUGAAGAGUACAUCUGUUAUUAGUGGUAGGGAUAAUGUUCCUUAAUUGUACUUCUGUUGGGUUACUAACAAUGUCUACAUAGAUUAGAGAUCUCAGAGUCAAGAUGUCCAAAAUCAAAGACCUCUUUUCCAAUUAUUUUUCUUCCUUCUUUCCUCAUUGUAUUGAUUAAUACCACCGUUCCUUGCAUUCCUGGGCAAAAGUACAAUGAGAAUAGAGACAUCCUGUUCUGCAGACGGAGAAUGGUGUCAGAACAAGAUGAAGUUCCUAAGAUACAGACACCAUAAUAUAAUAUUGUAAAAGUCACAAAAUCCUAAGUAGAAAAACAGAACAAAAAAGGGUAGACAGGAGAAAGAAAGUUCUAAUUGAAGGGCAUGGUGAUACAUAUACAUUUAUGAAGAAUAACUUUUAAAUUCCAAAUAUAGUAAAAAUCAAACACAUCCAUACAACAAUCAUGUGGGAAGAAUACUUGUAGAAUGUUGCUAUUCUAUCCUUUUUGCAGAUCUCAUUGCAGAUGAAGGAAUUAUUGUCCAAAGUGUUUUGUUUUCCUGAAUGGUUUUCCUGUCAUUUAUGAGGAGACUUUAAGCUAUAAUGCUGAGUUUUAUACACUAUGCUGCAGAGCAUUUCUUUAGCAAGAACCGGAAUUAGAGUGAGAGCAGGAAAGAAGUAAAAUAAAAACAUUAAAUAAAUGUAAUAUGCAGAGGCAGAGAAGCUUUGGGAUUCGUGGAAAAUAAUACAAAGAAAUUCAUGAAAUAACAUUUACAAAUGAUGAGAUAGAAGGAGAGGAAAAGUUAGGGUAUUGUUUUAAUUUAAAUUGUUUUAAUUUAAAAGACAGUCUUAACCUGAAGCAAACACUUCAGUGCUGAAAAGCACAACCAAUUAUCUUUUUUUGAAAGCAGUUUCCACCUGAAAGGGAUGGAAAUUAGGAAGUGAAGAGAUGAAAAAGAGACUGCCUUGGGAAUAUUGUCUCAGAAUGCAUGUAUUUAACUCUCUAGUAAAUCUGGCAGUGAACCACCAUCUGGUGACCACAGUGAUGAAAAAUAUUCCUAUUGGUUAAGAACAAUGUCUGAACUUUAGAAAAGAGCAUUCAUAUUUUAUAGAGAUCUAUGUAUAUCCAUUACAUAAUCAUUUUCUAGUCAAAAAGACAAUGGUCUUGCUUUAAGAGGACCCAGCGAAUAUUUCAAAUAUAUGUGAUAUUUUGUGAUAAUAUGCAAGAGCAUUCAUUAUAAAACAUUUUAAUAAUUUGAAGGGAAAAUCCUAAAGGCUGUAAUGUUAUUAUAGAACUCAUAAUACAUAUGCAUAACAUAAACUAAAUAUUGGUCAAAGCUAUAUAAGCAGAUACAGAUAUGUGGUUUUUGAAAUAAGUGUCUACAUAUUUAUAUUCUUGAACUUCCUCAAUCUCUUUUGAAGAUAUAUCUAGAUUUAAAAAAAUGAAAUAAAAUUACUCCCAUAAAUUCUCCAAGUCAGACUCAGAGCACACAAGGGCACUCCAGCUAUGAAAGUUUGAUAGAUUUUAUACUGAAGAAGUAUAAAAUGUAAUUGAGUACACUUUCUUUUUUCUUUCAGCAGAAAGCAUAUUUAUACCACUUAAACUACUCUUAUCUAGCCUUAAGCAUCUUAUAAAUAAGAAAUUAUUCAGAGGGAAAAUUUAUAUUUACCCUUAGAAUAUGCAAGAACUAUGGGUUAGUCAAUGUAAAAUUAAUGAGAAGCUCACAAAGUAUCACAGACAUGUAAUAUGUCUACAGUGCAUAUAUGGCAGUGGUUAUGAAUCCUGGCUGCAAGGUACAAUAGAUUCUGCAAGGUUUUAAUUUUUUUAUUUUAUUUUUUGCUACAUUAUAUUUGUCCAUAUUUAUGGGGUAUAUGUGAAAUGUUAUUACAUGCAUAGAAUGUGUGAUGAUCAAGUCAGUGUAGUUAGGGUAUCCUUUACGCCAGUAUUAUCCUGUCUAAGCGUUGGGUACAUUUCAAGUCCUAGUUUAAAAAAAUCAGGAACUAUUCCAGACUUACUACCUCAUCAUCUCCAGGAAAGUGACCUAGAAGUCUUUAUUUUGAAAGUAUUUUAUUAUUGAUUGUCCUGUUUGGUCAGUAUUGAGAAACUAUGGAUAUAUGCAGUUUUUCUUAAUAAUCGUGGAAAUUUGGAGCUGAUAGGGAUCUAAGAUUCAUCUAGUCCAAUCUGCACAUCAGUAUCUAAAUCAGAUACAUUUGGCUGUGGUUUUGAUUAGUGUAUAUAAUGAAAUCAAUAUAUAUGUAUUUAUAUGCAUAAGAGCUAACUUUUACAUAGGUAUCUAUUCCUGUGUAUGUGUUUGUGCUCUCACAUACACAGGCACACAUACACACGACUCCCUCACUGGAAAACUUCACUGUGGUAGGUGACAGAGGGAACACAUGUGAAUGUGAGAUUUAUUGUGCUUAAAUAAUUUGCAGUCUGAAAAACAUUUACACCCCUAAUCACAGUUCAAGGCAAUACUACAGAUAAAGUGCUGUCGUAGUGCAAAAGAAAAAAAUAUUAAUUCCCAGUCAUAUAGAAAGGAUUAGAUUUAUCUGAUGUUAUCUUUCAAGAAGGAAAAGGCAUUUGAAUCUGGAAAAGAUGAGACAGGAAACAAAAAAUAUUGAGGGAGCAGAAUGUGCCAAGUCACAGGAACAAAAUAUUAGUGCUUUAUUCAGCAAGUAUAUGCAAUGAACAUCAUUCGUAGAAAUGAAAAUUUAUCAACUUAUUACUUAUGAUUAUCUCUUAUUAGCUUAUUAAUCAACUUAUUUCCCAUUCAUUUUUUUCCUUCAUUCAACAACUGUGGAAUGCUGAAGAUGGAUUUGUCCUUGUCAUAAAGGAUAUCCAUGUAUAAAAAAGAAAGAAGGCUUUGGGAGCUGAGGUGGGAGGAUCAUUUGAAGCCAGGCAUUCCAGGCCAGCCUGAGCAACAGAGUGAAAUCUCAUAAUCUUCAAAAACAGAAAAAUCAGCUGGGAGUGGGGUAUGCCACUGCACAUCAACCUGAGUGACAGAGCGAGAUUCUGUUCCUAAAACAAUAAAAUUAAAAUUAAAAAAUUAAAAAUAAAUAAAAUUUUAAAAAAGCAAGAAAGAGCUGGCCAUGUGCAAAUGGAAUUUGAUUUACUGUUAAAUAUUUUGUUACCCAAUUUUAAAAAAACUACAUUGUAUUCCUAAGAUAAUUCCCAUUAUUUGGGAUAUUUUACAUUCAAAAUUAUGGAAAUAUUUUUAAAGCCAUUUUCCAGACAGUCAAUGGUAAUAACAUGAAUUUGAGUUAGCAGCAUGAGUUUUAAAAAGAUUAUAGCAUCUUUGACUUUAUUCAUAGAAAUUUGUAGCACUUUCUGUAAGUUUGAUAAUUGUCCUCUUCAGUGCUUAGUUUUAAACUUAGUACUUGUUGACAUGAAAGAAAUAAUUGUGCUAAUAUCACUGGAUAUUAAACUACUCAAAUAGAAUCAUGGAGCUGGAAAUGGGUCGUUAGUUCAUUUUUUUUGGGGGGGGGGGCAGAUGAGAAUAUAUCUUAUUCUGAAAUUUUGUCUCAGAUAUGCUAGGUGGCUUAUAUUUGUUGUGUUUUUGUUCUAUUAUGAAAUGUCUAUUCAUUCUUCAGUUCUUACUGCAUUAAUCUCAAGGAGUAAGUCCUUUCUGUAUCAAUUGCUUCCUCAAAAACCUGAAAUAGUAUCUGAUGCCCAGAGAUUCAAGCCACAAUAGCACAUAGGGAAUGCUUUCAGUAGUUGGUCUUGUAAUAAACUACAUUGUUCUUGCUCGUAUGCAUGAUCCAGUUCCCCAUCUUUGUGCCUCUUUCUGCUUUACUUUUCCCAUUUUAUAGCGCUCUUUCAUUGAUAGGUAUUCAACUUCUGUUUCUUUUUUUUCUUUUAAUUUUUCUUUUUCUUUUUCUUUUUUUUUGAGACGGAGUCUUGCUCUGUUGCCCAGGCUCGAGUGCAGUGGCGCGAUCUCGACUCACUGCAAGCUCCGCCUCCCUGAUUCAUGCCGUUCUCCUGCCUCAGCCUCUCGAGUAGCUGGGACUACAGGCGCCCGCCACCACGCUCAGCUAAUUUUUUGUAUUUUUAGUAGAGACAGGGUUUCACCGUGUUAGCCAGGAUGGUCUCGAUCUCCUGACCUCGUGAUCCACCCCCCUCGGCCUCCCAAAGUGCUGGGAUUACAGGCGUGAGCCACAGCCCCUGGCCUCAACUGCUGUUUCUUUCAAAGAUGCAUACAAUUGAUUUAAUUCAGAUCUUGUUUUUAAUAUGUAUUCACCAUUGGACAAUGCAUGGUUUCUUUAAAUUUAAUUCAGUUGGAACCUGACGGAUGACUUCGGCCUGCUGGCAUGCUCUUUUCGUUUUACCGUUCCGUGCGUGCUCCAUUCCCCAUAGCCAUCAUCUUGAUUUUGUGUUUAUCAAUCCAUUGCUUUUUUAUAAUUUUCCUGGAUAUACAUAUUUAUCUAAAAAAUAUAACGUUUACAUUUGCUUAUUUUGAAAUUUAUUAGAAAAUAUUAUUCUGCAUGUAAACUUUAGAGUCAUUUUUUUGCCCAAUAUUUCGUUCCUCAUAUUUAAUCAUAUUAUUACAGAUAGCUGUAAUUGUUAUUGUUUAACACUUCGCUGUGGGAAAAUGAAACAGUCUAUCUAUUCUCCUGUCCAUGGCGUAUGAUUCCUUCUUGAUAUUAUGAUCAGUGCUGGUUUGAAUAUUUUUAUGUCUUCUAGUGUGUAUGUAAUCAACUAUAUAAUCCUGGAAAAUAAUAAAAUGUUUUAAACUGGU
This is a long non-coding RNA of Homo sapiens (human), 5835 nucleotides long. RefSeq lists it as uncharacterized. The transcript has 2 exons. The record is from RefSeq and is a predicted model, not a curated record. Lineage: Eukaryota; Metazoa; Chordata; Mammalia; Primates; Hominidae.